UACGUAGGGUGCAAGCGUUAAUCGGAAUUACUGGGCGUAAAGCGUGCGCAGGCGGCUUUGCAAGACAGAUGUGAAAUCCCCGGGCUUAACCUGGGAACUGCAUUUGUGACUGCAUGGCUCGAGUGCGGCAGAGGGGGAUGGAAUUCCGCGUGUAGCAGUGAAAUGCGUAGAUAUGCGGAGGAACACCGAUGGCGAAGGCAGUCCCCUGGGCCUGUACUGACGCUCAUGCACGAAAGCGUGGGGAGCAAACAGG
This 253-nucleotide ribosomal RNA is filed under the name uncultured bacterium. RNAcentral's name for it is "partial 16S ribosomal RNA". It matches the Rfam family "Bacterial small subunit ribosomal RNA", at positions 524 to 776 of the family's 1533-position model. The record is from RNAcentral.